This 112-nucleotide ribosomal RNA is filed under the name Pogona vitticeps (central bearded dragon). Lineage: Eukaryota; Metazoa; Chordata; Lepidosauria; Squamata; Agamidae. The record is from RNAcentral.
AAACUCUAUGUUGCUCUGAACAUAAUUGGUCUUCUCAAAUACUGAAAGCUAAGCAGGGUCAAGCCUGGUUACAACUUGGGAUGGGAGACCACCACGGAAUACCAGAGAUUUC